Molecule: small RNA, 32 nt
Filed under: Bombyx mori (domestic silkworm)
Lineage: Eukaryota; Metazoa; Arthropoda; Insecta; Lepidoptera; Bombycidae
Description: ovarian small RNA-14507
Source: RNAcentral
CGGGGCGUAGCGCAGCCUGGUAGCGCACCUGC